UGAUAACUAUUCUUUUCUCCUCAGACACCGAGUUAAAGAAGGAAGAGGUUUAUCGGCCGGUAGCAUCGGCAGGACUCCUGUCUCAAGAGCCGAGCUCCCCAGCACAAUUUUCACUCCUCUUUUUAACUAAAAACUGUCUCCUGGCUUCAGUUGCAAGGGAUCUUCAUGAGUGCGACACAAAAGAGAGUGGGAGAAAAGCAUGAACUACAGCCCAGAACAGAAUGACUAAUUCCUGGAGGACGAAUUUGCAUUCAGCUUGAAGGCCAAGAGGUUAGCAUUUCCAACACAAAACAAUUUCGAGUGGGCUCAAUGCUCCCAGUCUUGUCUUAUCCUGGAACCGUCUCUGAAUUCCCCUCUUUCCUUGUUGCUGUGCCUAUGUCCUACUCCAGAGAGAGCUGAUGGUGAGAUGGAACACAAGUGGAGUUUCACUCUUCAUUGGCCAGGCUGGAGUACAAAUGGUGCAAUCUCGGCUCACCGCAACCUCUGCCUCCCAAAUUCAAGUGAUUCUCCUGCCUCAGCCUCCUGAGUAGCUGGGAUUACAGGCACGCACCAUCAUGCCUGGCUCAUUUUUGUAUUUUUAGGAAAGACAGGGUAUCACCAUGGUGGCCAGGCUGGUCUCGAAUUCCUGACCUCAGGUGAUCCACCCGCCUCAGCCUCCCAAAGUGCUAGGAUUAAAGGCAUGAGCCACUGCACCCAGCCUGUUUUCUCAAAUUUAAUUAAUGAUCUUAAAAACAGAAAUAAUAACAACAACUGUAAGUAUUUUUCAGUUGCCUCCCAGGCUGAAGCAAUUCUCUGCCUCAGCCUCCCGAGUAGCUGGGAUUAUAG
This 825-nucleotide long non-coding RNA is filed under the name Homo sapiens (human). Its description in RNAcentral is "non-protein coding lnc-SEMA6A-6:2". The record is from RNAcentral. Lineage: Eukaryota; Metazoa; Chordata; Mammalia; Primates; Hominidae.